GUGCCAGCCGCUGCGGUAAUACGGAGGGUGCAAGCGUUAAUCGGAAUUACUGGGCGUAAAGCGCACGCAGGCGGUCUGUCAAGUCGGAUGUGAAAUCCCCGGGCUCAACCUGGGAACUGCAUUCGAAACUGGCAGGCUAGAGUCUUGUAGAGGGGGUAGAAUUCCAGGUGUAGCGGUGAAAUGCGUAGAGAUCUGGAGGAAGUACCGGUGGCGGAAGGCGGCCCCCGUGGACAAAGACUGACGCUCGAGGUGCGAAAGCGU
Molecule: ribosomal RNA, 261 nt
Filed under: uncultured Enterobacter sp.
Lineage: Bacteria; Pseudomonadati; Pseudomonadota; Gammaproteobacteria; Enterobacterales; Enterobacteriaceae
Description: partial 16S ribosomal RNA
Rfam family: Bacterial small subunit ribosomal RNA
Source: RNAcentral